This 74-nucleotide transfer RNA is filed under the name Podarcis lilfordi (Lilford's wall lizard). Its description in RNAcentral is "tRNA.Lys". Lineage: Eukaryota; Metazoa; Chordata; Lepidosauria; Squamata; Lacertidae. The record is from RNAcentral.
UUCCAACCAGCUCAGUUGGCAGAGCAUGAAACUCUUAAAUCUCAGGGUUGUGGGUUCGAGUCAUACGUUGGGGU